RNAcentral lists this long non-coding RNA (1621 nucleotides) under Zonotrichia albicollis (white-throated sparrow). RNAcentral's name for it is "lncRNA (ENSZALG00000005386.1)". The record is from RNAcentral. Lineage: Eukaryota; Metazoa; Chordata; Aves; Passeriformes; Passerellidae.
UUAUGGUUAUAUAAUAAUUACNAACACUGAUUUUGGGCUCAUUAAUGCCAAUUUUGGACUCUCAUUACCCUCAUUAACACUGUUUUUGGGCUCAUUAAUGCUGAUUUUGGGCUCUCAUUAACACUGAUUUUGGGCUCAUUAAUGCCAAUUUUGGGUUCUCAGUGCCCUCGUUAAUGCCAAUUUUGGGCUGUCUCAUUAAUGCCAAUUUUGGACUCUCAUUAAUGCUGAUUUUGGGUUCUCUCAUUAACCUCUCACUGCCCACAUUAAUGCUGAUUUUUGGCACUCAGUGCCUUCAUUAAUGCCAAUUUUGGGCUUCCUCAUUAAUGCCAGUUUUGGGCUCUCAUUGCCGUCAUUAACAUUGGUUUUGGGCUCAUUAAUGCCAAUUUUGGGCUCUCAGUGCCCUCAUUAACGCUGUUUUUGGGCUCAUUAAUGCCAAUUUUGGGCUCUCAGUGCCCUCAUUAAUGCUGAUUUUGGGCUCUCAUUAACACUGAUUUUGAGCUCAUUAAUGCCAAUUUUGGACUCUCAUUACCCUCAUUAACACUGUUUUUGGGCUCAUUAAUGCCAAUUUUGGGCUCUCUCAUUAAUGCCAAUUUUGGGCUCCCUCAUUAAUGCCAGUUUUGGGCUCUCAUUGCCCUCAUUAAUGCUGAUUUUGGACUUUCAUUAACACUGUUUUUGGGCUUUCAUUAACGCUGUUUUUGGGCUCUCAUUAACACUGAUUUUGGGCUCAUUAAUGCCAGUUUUGGGCUCUCAUUAACACUGUUUUUGGGCUCAUUAAUGCUGAUUUUGAGCUCUCAUUAACACUGAUUUUGGGCUCAUUAAUGCCAAUUUUGGACUCUCAUCACCCUCAUUAACACUGAUUUUGGGCUCAUUAAUGCCAAUUUUGGGCUCUCAUUGCCCGACACUGAUUUUGGGAUCUCUCAUUAAUGCCAAUUUUGGGCUCUCAUUACCACCCCUUUAAACCAGAAGCACCUUGCUGGUGCCACCCAUCAGUUCCCCCAUGGCCAUUCAUUUCUUUGUUAAACUCACUCAUUCCUUUGGGAUUUUCCUCUGCCCUUUCCCUGCUCUGAUUGCAGGGCCGGUUCCUGGCCACCUACGGGUACAGCGGGCACAGCUACGGGCUGGCACGGGGCACGCUGGAAUCCAUCGCCAGGGAGGGGCUGGCAACCUGUGUGCACAUGGAGAUCGAGGGCGUGCGCAGCCUGAAGCGCACCCACUUCCGGCCCCGGUGCAUCCUGGUGGUGCCCAAGGACAAGGAGAAGUACGGGGAGCACCUGAGGAGGACGGGGCUCUUCACCAGGCCCGAGAUGGACGAGGCCGUGGCCAGGGUGGACAUGUACCUGCAGGAGUGCCAGGAGUGCCCCGGCUUCUUCGACGCCAUCAUUAACACGGGUCAGUUAAUUGCUGAUUGAUUGCCUCUGGGAUAAUUGGGAAUCAUAACAUAACAUAACAUAACAUAUAUUUUUAUAUCAAGUAUUUUUAUACAAUAUAGAAUUUUAAUUUUGUUUUCGUUUUAUGUUUAAUUUUCUGGUUUUUGGUUCUCAUUGCCCUCAUUAAUGCUGAUUUUGGGCUCUCAUUAACUCUGAUUUUAGGCUCUCAGUGCUCUCAUUAAUGCUGAUUUUGG